GGAAAAAGGGGGGGCGGCCUACACAUGCAAGUCGAGCGGAAACGAGUUAACUGAACCUUCGGGGAACGUUAACGGCGUCGAGCGGCGGACGGGUGAGUAAUGCCUGGGAAAUUGCCCUGAUGUGGGGGAUAACCAUUGGAAACGAUGGCUAAUACCGCAUAAUAGCUUCGGCUCAAAGAGGGGGACCUUCGGGCCUCUCGCGUCAGGAUAUGCCCAGGUGGGAUUAGCUAGUUGGUGAGGUAAUGGCUCACCAAGGCGACGAUCCCUAGCUGGUCUGAGAGGAUGAUCAGCCACACUGGAACUGAGACACGGUCCAGACUCCUACGGGAGGCAGCAGUGGGGAAUAUUGCACAAUGGGCGCAAGCCUGAUGCAGCCAUGCCGCGUGUAUGAAGAAGGCCUUCGGGUUGUAAAGUACUUUCAGCAGUGAGGAAGGUGGGUAUGUUAAUAGCAUACACAUUUGACGUUAGCUGCAGAAGAAGCACCGGCUAACUCCGUGCCAGCAGCCGCGGUAAUACGGAGGGUGCGAGCGUUAAUCGGAAUUACUGGGCGUAAAGCGCAUGCAGGUGGCUUGUUAAGUCAGAUGUGAAAGCCCGGGGCUCAACCUCGGAAUUGCAUUUGAAACUGGCAAACUAGAGUACUGUAGAGGGGGGUAGAAUUUCAGGUGUAGCGGUGAAAUGCGUAGAGAUCUGAAGGAAUACCGGUGGCGAAGGCGGCCCCCUGGACAGAUACUGACACUCAGAUGCGAAAGCGUGGGGAGCAAACAGGAUUAGAUACCCUGGUAGUCCACGCCGUAAACGAUGUCUACUUGGAGGUUGUGGCCUUGAGCCGUGGCUUUUCGGAGCUAACGCGUUAAGUAGACCGCCUGGGGGAGUACGGUCGCAAGAUUAAAACUCAAAUGAAUUGACGGGGGCCCGCACAAGCGGUGAAGCAUGUGGUUUAAUUCGAUGCAACGCGAAAGAACCUUACCUACUCUUGGACAUCUACAGAAAGCCAGCGGAAAACCCAGGGUGUGCCUUCCGGAAACUGGAAGAACAGGU
RNAcentral lists this ribosomal RNA (1038 nucleotides) under uncultured bacterium. RNAcentral's name for it is "bacterial SSU rRNA". It matches the Rfam family "Bacterial small subunit ribosomal RNA", at positions 26 to 1039 of the family's 1533-position model. The record is from RNAcentral.